Molecule: ribosomal RNA, 301 nt
Filed under: uncultured bacterium
Lineage: Bacteria
Description: partial 16S ribosomal RNA
Rfam family: Bacterial small subunit ribosomal RNA
Source: RNAcentral
CAGUCGCCGCGGUAAUACGAAGGGGGCUAGCGUUGUUCGGAAUUACUGGGCGUAAAGCGCACGCAGGCGGCUCGAUAAAUUAGAAGUGAAAGCCUUGGGCUUAACCUGAGAAUUGCUUUUAAGACUGUCGAGCUAGAAUCCAGAAGAGGGUAGUGGAAUUCCGAGUGUAGAGGUGAAAUUCGUAGAUAUUCGGAAGAACACCAGUGGCGAAGGCGACUACCUGGUCUGGCAUUGACGCUCAUGUGCGAAAGCGUGGGGAGCAAACAGGAUUAGAGACCCCUGUAGUCCCUGUCUCUUAUAC